RNAcentral lists this ribosomal RNA (253 nucleotides) under uncultured bacterium. Its description in RNAcentral is "partial 16S ribosomal RNA". It matches the Rfam family "Bacterial small subunit ribosomal RNA", at positions 524 to 776 of the family's 1533-position model. The record is from RNAcentral.
UACGUAGGGUGCAAGCGUUAAUCGGAAUUACUGGGCGUAAAGCGUGCGCAGGCGGUUGUGCAAGACCGAUGUGAAAUCCCCGGGCUCAAACUGGGAAUGGCAUUGGUGACUGCACGGCUAGAGUGUGUCAGAGGGGGGUAGAAUUCCACGUGUAGCAGUGAAAUGCGUAGAGAUGUGGAGGAAUACCGAUGGCGAAGGCAGCCCCCUGGGAUAACACUGACGCUCAUGCACGAAAGCGUGGGGAGCAAACAGG